UCCGGCCCCCACUCAACCCUCCCUCCCUCCGCCUCCGGGGCCGUGGGGCGGCCGGGCCAAUGAGCGGCGAGAGGAGGGGAGCGGGAAGCCGAGCGCGCUGGGCCGCGGCCCUCCUACCGCGCCCGUAGCCGCAGCGCCAAACACCAAGUUUUGCGCCCGGAGACUCUGCGCCGCGUCCUGUCCUCCGGCUCGCAGCUCGCUCCCCGGGAGCCCGGCGGCCGCGCGCGGCCCUCGGGACGGCCGCCCGCGCGCACUCGGGCGGGAGGACGCCGAGCCGGGGGCCGGGGUUGGGGGCGGCUCCUCCCGAAGAUGCAGGAUGGCAGCGGAGCCGCGGUCCAGCCUGUCCUACCGCACGACGGGCUCCACCUGUCUGCACCCGCUCAGCGAGCUCCUGGGCAUCCCGCUGGACCAGGUGAAUUUUGUGGCCUGCCAGCUCUUUGCGUUGUUUGCUGCUUUCUGGUUCCGCCUCUACUUGAGUCCUGGUAAAACCAGUCCUGAUGUCCGGCAUGCGUUUGCCACCAUUUUUGGCAUCUAUUUUGUCAUCUUUUGUUUUGGCUGGUAUUCUGUGCAUCUUUUUGUGCUGGUGUUAAUAUGCUAUGGAAUCAUGGUCACUGCGAGCAUAUCCAAUAUUCACAGAUACUCCUUUUUUGUAGCGAUGGGCUACCUUACAAUCUGCCACAUCAGUCGAAUCUACAUCUUCCACUACGGAAUUCUCACUACAGAUUUUUCUGGGCCUCUGAUGAUUGUUACUCAGAAGAUCACAACCUUGGCAUUCCAAGUUCAUGAUGGAUUAGGUCGAAGGGCUGCAGAUCUUUCCAGCGAGCAACAUCGACUUGCUGUAAAAGCAAAACCCUCCUUUUUGGAAUACGUGAGCUACCUUCUCAACUUCAUGAGUAUCAUAGCGGGCCCUUGUAACAAUUUCAAGGAUUAUAUAGCCUUCAUUGAGGGGAGACACACACACACGAAGUUGCUGGAAGUCAACUGGAAGGAAAAAGGCUUCCACAGUCUGCCAGAACCUUCUCCCACUGGAGCCGUGAUGCACAAGCUGUGCGUGACCUUGGUAUCUCUCCUUUUGUUUCUGACGCUGACGAAGACCUUCCCUGUCACCUCCCUGGCUGACGACUGGUUUGUUCAUGAAGCAAACUUUCUGACCCGACUCUGCUAUUUAUACGUUGUCAUGCAAGCCUCCAAGCCCAAGUAUUACUUUGCCUGGACAUUAGAUGUGAUGCUAUCGAUAGCCUGUCUCCUGCCAUCUUUAAUGACAGCCCUUGGAUGGAGUUCCCUCUCUUCUGAGCUUAUAUCUGAUGCAGUGAAUAAUGCAGCUGGCUUUGGGUUCAGCGGAGUGGAUAAGAAUGGAAAUUUCUCUUGGGAUCUGCUUUCUAACCUAAACAUCUGGAAAAUUGAGACUGCCACAAGUUUCAAAAUGUACGUAGAGAACUGGAAUAUUCAGACAGCUACUUGGCUAAAGCGUGUGUGCUACGAGCGGGUUCCCUGGUACCCCACAGUGCUGACCUUCAUCCUGUCUGCAUUAUGGCACGGUGUCUACCCUGGGUACUACUUCACUUUCUUAACUGGAAUCCUUGUCACUCUAGCAGCCAGAACGGUGAGGAAAAACUACAGACAUUACUUCCUUUCUUCAAAAGCCCUCAAGGUUGCUUAUGACAUAGUCACCUGGGCUGCCACUCAGCUGGCCGUCUCUUACACGGUGGCCCCCUUCGUUAUGCUGGCCGUGGAACCCACCAUCAGCUUGUACAAGUCUAUGUACUUUUACUUACACAUCAUCAGUCUCCUGAUCAUUCUAUUCCUGCCAAUCAAACCACAAGCUCAUAAUCAAAGGCGGCCUCAGACUCUGAACUCUGUUAAUAAGAAAAAAAUGGAUUGAUACCUCCACCAAAAAAAAAAGAAAAAUGCUGAACACUUAAGACUGCAAAUCAUUGGACAAAGACUCCAGAGUUCUCCAGUGACUUAGAGGUCUGGCCACAUAAAGGAUGCAGGUAAAAGAUGCUGAAGACCCGUUCUGUGCCCUCGAAGAGCUCACAGUGGGACCAGACAGACAAGAUCCAGAGCAUGUGCUGCAGGUUGGAGGGAUCCCAGCAUUCUGAAAGGCACAGUGACUGGUGCUGUGUCCUUGUUUUCCUGUAAGUUCGGAGUCACCUCAUCUCUUGGAGCCUGAAGGUUACCCAGGAGAGCAACAUCACCACUCAGCAGCCUCUUGUCUGGGUGAAGUGAAGCCUGCCCUUGUUCUGAAACUGGAUGCUGCCUUUGCGACAAACCAGUACCAGUUAUUGCAGGGACGGCCCAAAGGAGCAGACUGUGCGUUCCCAGUUGCCCAUAGAGGUAGUGGGGUGGCUAAUCCAGCCCCCAACCCCGAAAGAUCUUUAGUGAAAGUUCCAGGCUCAGCGAGUGAGGUGUUGAGGCCCGGGAGGAAGGGUGUUUGCCGAGAGAAGGCUCAGCCCACCUGAGCUUUGCCUAAUCCCUAAACUUAUGUUAGGCUAGGAGCUCCAGGAAUAAUUGCAAGCUGCCAUCCCUGCCACUCCCUCAGGCUCCCGGAGAGGAGCUACUGCUGACCCCAUCACAUGCUCUGCGGGCAUGCAUGGGCUACCCCUGCCUCUGAGAACCCCAGGACAGGGGACCAGUUGCCUCAUCUGCAUACCCCCUGUUCAAGGGGAAGAUGACCAGCAUAUGCCAAGAAAAGAGGAGGCAAGCAUCCCCACUAAAAACAGCACUUGCACCAAAUAUAUGAAACCCUCACAAGCCACAUAGGGGCAUUCCCACUUAUAAAUAGCUUCCUAAGACCACAGUAGAUAAUUGUUUCUCCUAAACUCACAGAGUAAGAGAAAUAUAAGCAAAAUGAAGAAACAGAAGAGCCACUUCCAGCUGAAAGACCAAGAGAAUUCCCCUGAAAGAACAAUGAAACAGACCUCUUCAGACUAAUAGACACCGAUUUUGAAAAGGAGAUAAUGAAGAUACUGAUGGAGUUAAGAAAGACGACUGACAGAAAUGCAGAGGAACGGUAAUGUGAAAGUGGACACUAAAGAGGAACCAAGGAAAAUUAGAAAAUUCAUUUGCCAAGAUGAAAGCUGAACUAAAGGCCAUGAAUAGCAGGGUGAUGAAUGCAGAAGAAAUUUAAGUGACCUGGAAGAUAGAAUAUUGGAAGUCACCCAUUCAGGACGGUAGACAGAAAGCCAAAUGAAAAAAGAAAAAAAAAAGAAAGCAAAAUUAUGUAAAUCAACUUAUUUACAAAACAGACUUAGAGAACAAAUUAUGGUUACCAGACGGGAAGGUGAAGGAAAGAGAGAUACUGGGAGUUUGAGAUUGACACGUAUACACUGCUACAUUUAAAAUGGAUAAGUAUGGACCUACUGUAUAGCACAGGGAACUCUGCUCAAUAUUCUGUAAUACCCUAAAUGGGAGAAGAAUCUGAAAAAUAAUAAGACACUUGUGUGUAUAACUGAAUCACUUUGCUGCCUUAAACUAACACAACAUUGUUAAGCAAUGAUGCUCCAAUAUAAAAUAAAAAAAUUUUUUAAAUGCAAGCAAUAUAAGACACCUAUGGGAUAAAGUGUGCCCAACUAUACAUAGGAGGCAUUCCAGUACGUGAAGAAAGAGAAAAGGGUAUUGAGAAUAUAUCUGAAAAAAUUAUGGCUGAAAACUUCCCAAACCUAAAGGAAAAAAACAUAUCCAGAUACAAGAAGCACAGAGGGUCCCAAACAAGAUAAGCCCAAACAGACCUACACCAAGACAUAUUAUAAUAAAAAUGGCAAAUGUUAAAGAGAGGAUGCUAAAGGCAGAAGAGAAAAACAAAGAGUUAAUUACAAGGUAACCCCCCCACAUAAGGCUGUCAGCCGGUUUCUCUACAGAAACAGUUGCAGGCCAGAAAGGGAGUGGCAAGAUAUAUUCAAAGCCCCAAAAGGGAAAAAUCUACAGCCUAGGAUACUCUACUUAGCAAGAUUAUGAUUUAGAAUAGAAGGAGAGAGAGAAUUUCUCGGAUAUGCAAGAACUAAAAGAAUAUAGCAAUAGUUCAGUUCAGUCACUCAGUCGUGUCUGACUCUCUGACCCUGUGGCCUGCAGCACGCCAGGCCUCCCUGUCCAUCACCAACUCCCAGAGCUUACUCAAACUCAUGUCCAUUGAGUCGGUGAUGCCAUCCAGCCAUCUCAUCCUCUCCUCAUCCCCUUCUCUUCUCACCUUUAAUAUUUCCCAGCAUCAUGGUCUUUUCCAAUGAAUCAGUUUUUUGCAUCAGGUGGCCAAAGUAUUGGAGUUUCAGCUUCAGCAUCAGUCCUUCCAAUGAAUAUUCAGGAUAUCAUUAGGAUGGACUGGUGGGAUCUCCUUGCAGUCCAAGGGACUCUUAAGAGUCUUCUCCAACAUCACAGUUCAAAAGCAUCGAUUCUUUGGCGCUCAGCUUCCUUCACAGUCCAACUCUCACAUCCAUACAUGACUACUGGAAAAACCAUAGCUUUGACUAGACAGACCCUUGUUGGCAAAGUAAUGUCUCUGUUUUUUAAUAUGCUGGUUAGGUUGGUAAUAGUUUUUCUUCCAAGGAGCAAGCGUCUUUUCAUUUCAUGGCUGCAGUCACUAUUUGCAGUGAUUUUGGAGCCCCCCCAAAUAAAGUCUCUGUUUCCAUUGUUUCUCCAUCUAUUUGCCAUGAAGUGAUGGGACAGCAAUACUAAAACUAUCCUAAAAGAAACAUUGAAAGUGUUUCUCUAAAUAGAAAAGAAGUAAGCAUCUAUUAAGGAAGAGAACACCACAAUUGGAAAGCAAGUCACUUGAGUAACCCCGAGUGUGCUACGUUGCUGCAGUAGUGCCUGACUCUUUACAACCCUGUGGACUGUAGCCCACCAGGCUCCUCCGUCCAUGCAGCUCCCCAGGCAAGAAUACUGAAGUGGGUUGCCAUGCCCUCCCCUCCAGGGGAUCUUCCCACCCAGGGAUCAAACCCACAUCUCUUACGUCUCUUGCAUUGGCAGGUGGGUUCUUUACCACUAGUGUCAUCCGGGAAGCCCAAAUAAGCCAGUACACAGAUUUAAAAAAAAAAAAAAGAUUAUGUGAAAGUGAUGAUAACCACAAUGAACAGCAAAAAGAUGAAUGUGAAGAUGUAAAAUAGGACAUCAAAAUCAUGAAGUGCAGGAGAGGAGAGUAAGAAAAUGUAGAUUUUUUUUUUCAUUUCCUAGAACGAGUUUGAGCCUAUGUGACUACCAAGUAGAUAUAGGAAGGGGUUCACAUGCCUGAAAAACAAAGUAACCGCAAAUCAAAAACAUAAAAAUAGAUUCAGAAAAUAACCAAAAAGAAGAGAACGUAAGUAUAAUGCAAAAGAAAAUCAUCAAGCCACAAAAGGAAAAAUAAAGGGACAAAAAUAAAUAUAAAAUCAAGGGGAAAACAAGGUUUAAAACUGCAACAAAUACAUAUCUAUCAAUAGUUACCUUAUAUGUCAAUGGACUAAAUGGUCCAAUCAAAAGACAUGAGUGGCAGAUUGGAUAAAAAAGAAACAGCCAAUAAGAAACUCAUUUUAGGGCAAAGGGUGCACAUAGAUUGAAAGCGAGGGGAUGGAAAAAGAUAUUUCAUGCAAACGGAAAUGAUGAGAAAGCAGGGGUUGUGAUACUUAAACGAAAUAGACUUUAAAACAAAGAUCCUAAAGAUAAAGAAGGACACUAUAGAGUGAUGAAAGGAUCAAUACAAGAAGAGAAUUUUACACUUAUCAACACAUAUGUACCCAAUAUAGGAGCCCUCAAUUACAUAAAACAAAUACUAACAGACAUAAAGGGAGAAAUUGACAGGACUACUAUAAUAGUAGGAGAUUUUUACACCCCAGUCACAGCAAUGGGCAGAUCUUCUAGACUGAAAAUCAGUAGUGUAAUAGAGAUCCCAAAUAGAACAAUAGAACAGUUAGACUUAAAGGAUAUAUUCAGGACGUUACAUCCAAAAAAAAAAAAAAAAAAAAUCUCCAGAAUACAUAUUCAAGUGCACAUGGAACAUUCUCUAGGAUUGACCACAUAUUAGGGCAGAAAACAAGCCUCAACAAAUUUAAAAUUAUAGAAAUUAUCUCAAGCAUCUUUGCUAACAAUGAUAUGAAACUAAAAAUUAACCACAGGAAAAGAAAUAAGAAAAUAGUGAUUACAUGGAGAUUAAUAAUAUAUGUCACUAAAAUAUCAGUGGUCAGUGAUGAAAUCAAAGAGGAAAUUUAAAAAUACCUUGAGAUAAGUGACUAUGAAAACACAACUCUACAAAAUUUACGAGUUGCAGUAAAAGCAAUUCUUAGAGGGAAGUUCACAGUGAUAUAGGCCUUCCUCAAAAAAACAAGAAAAAUCUCAAGCAACCUAACCUACCACCUAAAAGAAUUAGCAAACGAACAAACAAAACCCAAAAUCAGCAGAAGGAAGGAAAUAGGUCAGAGAGGAAAUAGAGAUUUAAAAAGCAAUAGAAAAAAAAAAUUAAAAAAUCAAUAAAUCCAAGAGCUAGAUCUUUGAAAGGGUAAAUAAGAUUGACAGACCUCUCACUACAUUUGCUGAGAAGAAAUGAGAACCCAAAAAAACAAGAAAUGAAAAGAGGACAUAAACAACCAAUAUCACAGAUACACAAAGAGCCGUAAGGGAAUGCUAUGAACAAAUACUUAACAAUAGUAUGCCAACAAAUUUGACAGCCUAGAAGAAAUGGAUAAGUUUCUAGAAACCUACAACCCAACAAAACUGAAUCAAGAAGAAAUAGAUAAUUUGAACAGACCAAUCACGAAGUGAAAUAGAAUCUGUAAUUUUAAAACUGCAUACAAACAAAAGUCUGGGACCAGAUGGCUUCACAUAUGAAGUCUGCCAAACACACAAAAAAAGAACCUAUACUGAACCUUCUCAAAUCCUUCCAAAAAACUGAAAAGGGUAAACUCCCAAAGACACCCUAUGAAGCCACCAUCACCCUGAUACCAAUACCAGACAAAGAGAACCAAAAGAGAAAAUUUCAGGCUGAUAUCUUUGAUGAAUAUAUAUUGAAAAAUUCUCAAAAUAUUAUCAAACUGAAUCCAGUAACACAUAAAAAAGAUCAUACACCACGAUCAAGUGGAAUUCAGCCCAAGUUCACAAGGUUGCUUCAACAUACACAGAUCAGUCAAUGCGCUACACCAUAGACAAAAGAAAAGAUAAAACCUACAUGAUCAUCUCAAUAGAUGCAUAAAAAGCACUUGACAAAAUUCAGCAUCCAUUAAUGAUAAAACUCUUACCAAAUUGGGAACAGAUGGAACAUAUCUCAACAUAAUAAAAGCUACUUAUGACAAAUGCACAGCCAAUACAAUAUUCAACAGUGAAAAGCUGAAAGCCUUCCCACUAGUCCUAGACACAGCUAUCAGGAAAAAGAAACUAAAGAUCCAAAUUGGAAGAGAAGUGGUAAAAUUGUCAUUAUUUGCAGAUGAUAUACAAUAUAGAGAAAACCUUAAAGACGCCACAUAAAAACUACUAGAACUGAAAUGAAUUCAGCAAGGUAGCAGGAUACAAGAUUAACAUAUGGAAAUCAGUUGUAUUUCUUUAACAAUGAAAUAUCAGAGAAUGUUUAAAAAAAAACAAAAAACAAACCUUUUUUAAAAUCACACCCCCCAAAAGUAAAAUACUUAGGAAUAAGCCUGACAGAGGAGGUGAAAGACGUACAGGCUGAAAACUAUAAAACAUUAAUAAAGGAAACUGAAGAUGAUUCAAAAAAAUGAAAAGCUGUCUCAUGCUCUCGGAUUAGAAGAAUUAGUAUUGUUAAAAUGACCAUACUACCCAAGCAAUCUGCAGAGUUAAUGUGAGCCCUAUCAAGUUAACCAUGCCAUUUUUUACAGAUCUAGAACAAAUAAUCCUAAAAUUUAUAUGGAGCCAUAAAAGACACAGACUUGCUACAGCAAUCCUGAAGGAAAAGAAUAAAGUAGGAAGCAUAACCUCCCAGACUUCAGAAACUACAAAGCCACAGUGACCAAAACAGCAUAGUAUUGAUGCAAAACAGAGACACUGAAUAGAAACAAUAUUUUCUAUUUUUCUCUAUAAGAGAACAGAAUAGAAAGACCAGAACUAAACCCACAUGCCCACACUCAAUCUUCAACAAAGAAGGCAAGACUAUAUGAUGGGAAAAGACAAUCUCUUCAUCUAGUAGUGUUAGGAAAGUUGAACAGCCACAUAUAAAUCAGUGACAUUCAAACACUCUCACCAGAUACAAAAAUAAACUCAAAAUGGCUGAAAGACUUAAACAUAAGAUAUGACACCAUAAAAUCUCUGGAAGAUAUCAUAGGCAAGACAUUUUCUCACACAAAUCAUACGAUGUUUUCUUAGGUCGGUCUCCAAAGGCAAUAGAAGACAAAAAUAAACAAAUGAGAUCUAACCAAACUUAUAAGCUUUUGCACAGCAAAGGAAACCAUGAGCAAAACAAAAGACAACCUACAGAAUGGGACAAAAUACUUGCAAAUGAUGCGACUGACAAAGGUUUAAUUUCCCAAUAUACACACAGUUCAUACAAUUCAAACACAGCAACAAAAUAACCAUUAAGAAAAGGGUUCAGAAGACCUAGACAGACAUUUAUCCAAAGAAGAAAUACAUAUGGCCAAUAGGCAUGUGAAAAGAUGCUCAAAUCUCUAAUUAUUAGAGAAAUGCAAGCAAAACUGCUAUGAGGUGCCACUUCAUACCAGUCAAAGUGGCCAUCAUUAAAAACCCUACAGGGACUGCCCUGAUGGUCCAGUGGUUAAGACUCCAUGCUCCCAAUGCAGGGGGCACUGGUUUGAUCCCUGGUUAGGGAACUAAGAUCCCACCUACCAUGUGGUGCAGUCAAAAAUAAAUGUAACUCCCACCCCUAAACCAAAAAACUACAAAUAGCAAAUACGGGAGAGGAUGUGGAGCAAAGGGAACCUCCUACCCUGCUGGUGGGAAUUUUAGUUGGUACAGCCACUAUGGAAAACAGUAUGGAGGCCCAUCAGAAAACUAAAAACAUAUGAUCCAGCAAUCCCACUUCUGAGCAUAUAUCCAGACAAACCUCUAAUUCAAAAACAUAACGUGCCUCCUAUAUGCACAGCCGCACAAUUCACAAUAACCAAGACAGGGAGACAACUUAAACGUCCAUUGACAGAGGGAUGGGUAAAGAAGAUGUGGUAUGUAUAUACAAUGGAAUACCACUCACCCAUUAAAAAGAAUGAAAUAAUGGCAUCUGCAGCAAUAUGGAUGCAACCAGAGGUUAUCAUACGAACUGAAGUAAGUCAGAAAGAGAAAGACCGUAUCAUAUCACUUACAUGUGGAAUCUACAAUAUGACAAAUGAAGCUAUCUACACAACAGAAACAGACUCAUAAACAGAGAGGACAGAUUUAUGGUUGCUACAGGAGAGGGGGUUGGGCAGGGGUGGAGUGGGAGGCUAGGAUUAGCAGCUGUAAGCUGUAACAUACAGAAUGGAUAAACAAGGUCCUACUGAAUAGCACAGAGAACUAUAUUCAAUAUCCUUUCAUAAACCAUAAUGGGAAACAAUAUAAAAAAAGAACACUUAAAUAUGUAAAAAUCAAUUGGCUGUACAGAAAUUAAGAUGACAUUAUAAAUCAAAUUCAUUACUUAAUACAGCCUGGAAACUUGCCAUUAAUAUCCUCAGCAAAUGUGGAAGCCAGGGCUCAGAGACUAAGUAACUUGUGCCAGGUCACCCAGCUUGUUCAAGUGCGUGAGCUGGGGCUUGGAUCCUGGUCCAGGUAACUCUGAAGUCAUCUUGCCUCCUUGUGAACAAGCCCUUUAACAAGAAACUGUAUUGCUUAGAAGUGACUCUACAAGUCACCUGGUCCAGCGGUCCCUGAAUGCAGGUGGGCUGGCCCUGUCUCCUGGAGACCCUGCUGAAGAGGCAGGGUGGGAAGGAUGGGUCUGCUGUUGACAGAGAAACACCGACUGCCACCGUCUAAGGGAGCAGCAGAAGUCCUGUCAAUGGAGGCUAAAGGGAACCCUGCUCUGCUCUCAGGCUCUCUGGGUCAGAAAAGUGAGUCACUCAGUCCUGUCUGACUCUUUGUGACCCCAUGGACGACACAGUCCAUGGCAUUCUCCAGGCCAGAAUACUGGAGUGGAUAGCCUUUCCCUUCUCCAGUGGAUCUUCCCAACCCAGGGAUUGAACCCAGGUCUCCCGCAUUACAGACAGAUUCUUUACCAGCUGAGCCACAAGGGAAGCCCCUGUGGGUUAGAAGGGAAGGAGUAAACUGGUAGGGUGGGAACCACACUAAAUCACUGGACUCUGGUCUAGAGAAGGCACACUGAGGGACUUCCCUGGUUGUCCAGUGGCUAAGACUCGUGCUUCCAGUGCCGGGGGCCCAAGUUCGAUCCCUGGUUGGGCAACUAGAUCCCAUGUGCCGCACAAUAUUGAAGAUCCCACGUCCUGCAACUAAGAUCUGGCACAACUAUAUACUGAUUGCACGACUCUAGGCAAGCUGCUUAACCUCUCUGGGCUUCAGGUUACUUAUAUAUCAAAUGGGAAUAGUAACUGGAUCUACUUACUAGGUUAUCAUGCUUUUGAAUUGUGUUGGAGAAGACUCUUGAAAGUCCCUUGGACUGCAAGGAGAUCAAACCAGUCAAUCCUAAGAGAAAUCAACCCUGAAUACUCAUCGGAAGGACUGAUGCUGAAGCUCCAAAACUUUGGCCACCUGAUGCAAAUAGCCGACUCAUUAAAAAAUACCCUGUUGCUGGGAAAGAUUGAGGGCAGGAGGAGAAGGGGGCAAGAGAGGAUGAGAUGGCUGGAUGGCAUCACCAACUCAAUGGACAUGAGUUUGUGUAAACUCUAGAAUGUAGUGAAGGUCUGGGAAGUCUGGUGUGCUUCAGUCCAUGGGGUCUCAUGGAGUCAGAUACAACUUAGCAACUGAACAACAACUAGGUUAUCAUGAAAUAAAAUAAGAGAAUAUAUAAUAAUGCUCUGAAUAGUGGCUAGUGUUUAAUAAGUACUUAGUAAAAAGUAGUGACUAGUAUAAGUGACAUGUUUAUUAAAAUAAUUCAUGGAUUUAAAAAAUAAUUUGCAAUAUUAUAAUAGACUCUACCCUGAAAAAAAAAAUGAUCUGGCACAGCCAAAUAAAUAAAUAUUAAAGAGAGA
RNA transcript from Dama dama (fallow deer), 11039 nucleotides. It is a transcript of the gene named membrane bound O-acyltransferase domain containing 1, with no coding region annotated. The transcript has 15 exons. The record is from RefSeq and is a predicted model, not a curated record. Lineage: Eukaryota; Metazoa; Chordata; Mammalia; Artiodactyla; Cervidae.